Molecule: ribosomal RNA, 484 nt
Filed under: uncultured bacterium
Lineage: Bacteria
Description: partial 16S ribosomal RNA
Rfam family: Bacterial small subunit ribosomal RNA
Source: RNAcentral
AUUGAACGCUGGCGGCAGGCCUAACACAUGCGAGUCGAGCGGAUGAAGGGAGCUUGCUCCUGGAUUCAGCGGCGGACGGGUGAGUAAUGCCUAGGAAUCUGCCUGGUAGUGGGGGAUAACGUCCGGAAACGGGCGCUAAUACCGCAUACGUCCUGAUGGAGCAAGUGGGGGAUCUUCGGACCUCACGCUAUCAGAUGAGCCUAGGUCGGAUUAGCUAGUUGGUGGGGUAAAGGCCUACCAAGGCGACGAUCCGUAACUGGUCUGAGAGGAUGAUCAGUCACACUGGAACUGAGACACGGUCCAGACUCCUACGGGAGGCAGCAGUGGGGAAUAUUGGACAAUGGGCGAAAGCCUGAUCCAGCCAUGCCGCGUGUGUGAAGAAGGUCUUAGGAUUGUAAAGCACUUUAAGUUGGGAGGAAGGGCAGUAAGUUAAUACCUUGCUGUUUUGACGGUACCGACAGAAUAAGCACCGGCUAACUUCGUG